RNAcentral lists this non-coding RNA (355 nucleotides) under Pongo abelii (Sumatran orangutan). Lineage: Eukaryota; Metazoa; Chordata; Mammalia; Primates; Hominidae. The record is from RNAcentral.
UUAAACCAAAAACAUGCUUUAAUGCCAGGCAAGAGCUACACAGUCAACUGAUAUACGGGCCACUCCAUAGGCUAUGAUUUAUAAAUUAUGUAUUAAAUCCACCGUGGGAUACUGAUGGGAUGGGACAGCACCCCCAGCCCCCUCCCACUCUGAACGAUGUAUGAACAGUUGAGCACUCUGUAGAAUCCUUCAGGCCGUAAGCCACUUUAUUCCAGUCCCUUGAACAUCACAGGACUGGAUGGGUUUCCCUUCUUUUGCCCCCACCCCCGAGUCUUAGGUUUUAGAACAGAGACAUUAGAAUAAAAAAAAAAUAGUAACGAUUAAAAAUCAUCAAACAAUGAACACCACGAAGUCU